This 71-nucleotide transfer RNA is filed under the name Loxodonta africana (African savanna elephant). It matches the Rfam family "tRNA". From Rfam's summary of the family: Transfer RNA (tRNA) molecules are approximately 80 nucleotides in length. Their secondary structure includes four short double-helical elements and three loops (D, anti-codon, and T loops). Further hydrogen bonds mediate the characteristic L-shaped molecular structure. tRNAs have two regions of fundamental functional importance: the anti-codon, which is responsible for specific mRNA codon recognition, and the 3' end, to which the tRNAs corresponding amino acid is attached (by aminoacyl-tRNA synthetases). tRNAs cope with the degeneracy of the genetic code in two manners: having more than one tRNA (with a specific anti-codon) for a particular amino acid; and 'wobble' base-pairing, i.e. permitting non-standard base-pairing at the 3rd anti-codon position. Lineage: Eukaryota; Metazoa; Chordata; Mammalia; Proboscidea; Elephantidae. The record is from Rfam by way of RNAcentral.
ACAGUAGUGGUUCAGUGGUAGAAUUUUCCCUUUCCGUGUGGGAGACCCAGGUUCGAUUCCUGGCCAGUGCA